RNAcentral lists this ribosomal RNA (1110 nucleotides) under Marinobacter sp. F3R08. Its description in RNAcentral is "partial 23S ribosomal RNA". It matches the Rfam family "Bacterial large subunit ribosomal RNA", at positions 1 to 1129 of the family's 2925-position model. Lineage: Bacteria; Pseudomonadati; Pseudomonadota; Gammaproteobacteria; Pseudomonadales; Marinobacteraceae. The record is from RNAcentral.
AAUCAAGCGCGAGAAGGGCGUUUGGUGAAUGCCUAGGCAGUAAGAGGCGAUGAAGGACGUGAUACUCUGCGAUAAGCUAUGGGGAGCUGAGAAUAAGCUUUGAUCCAUGGAUUUCCGAAUGGGGCAACCCACCUGACAGUUUGUUAUAAUUGCUUUACGGCACUUUAUAAUGGAUUGAACCAGGUACUUUUAGACUGAAUACAUAGGUUUAAAAGAGCAAACCCGGGGAACUGAAACAUCUAAGUACCCGGAGGAAAGGACAUCAAUAGAGACUCCGUUAGUAGUGGCGAGCGAACGCGGAUCAGCCGAGCCUUGAGAGUGACUAGAACACAUUGGAAAAUGUGGCCAUAGCGGGUGAUAGCCCCGUAUAGGAAGCUCGAUGGGACGUAUUAAGUAGGGCGGAACACGUGAAAUUCUGUCUGAAGAUCGGAGGACCACCUCCGAAGGCUAAGUACUCCUUACUGACCGAUAGUGAACCAGUACCGUGAGGGAAAGGUGAAAAGCACCCCGACGAGGGGAGUGAAACAGUUUCUGAAACCGGACGCCUACAAGCAGUCGGAGGGACCUUGAGUCCUGACGGCGUACCUUUUGUAUAAUGGGUCAUCGACUUGGUCUCACAAGCAAGCUUAAGCCGUUAGGUGUAGGCGCAGCGAAAGCGAGUCUUAAUAGGGCGCAUGAGUUUGUGGGAUCAGACCCGAAACCGAGUGAUCUAGGCAUGACCAGGCUGAAGGUAAGGUAACACUUACUGGAGGGCCGAACCCACACCUGUUGAAAAAGGUCGGGAUGAGUUGUGCCUAGGGGUGAAAGGCCAAUCAAACUCGGAGAUAGCUGGUUCUCUGCGAAAUCUAUUUAGGUAGAGCGUCAUCCGAAUACCCCGGGGGGUAGAGCACUGGAUGGGUAAUGGGGCCCCACAGGCUUACUGAUCCUAACCAAACUCCGAAUACCCGGGAGUACUAGAUGGCAGACACACGGCGAAUGCUAACGUCCGUCGUGAAGAGGGAAACAACCCUAACCUCCAGCUAAGGCCCCUAAUUCAUGGCUAAGUGGGAAAGCAGGUGGGACGACCAAAACAACCAGGAGGUUGGCUUAGAAGCAGCCAUCCUUUAAAGA